Molecule: transfer RNA, 57 nt
Filed under: Neotoma lepida (desert woodrat)
Lineage: Eukaryota; Metazoa; Chordata; Mammalia; Rodentia; Cricetidae
Rfam family: tRNA
About the family: Transfer RNA (tRNA) molecules are approximately 80 nucleotides in length. Their secondary structure includes four short double-helical elements and three loops (D, anti-codon, and T loops).
Source: Rfam by way of RNAcentral
UGGCUCAGCAGUUAGAGCACUGGCUGCUCUUCCAGAGGACCUGGGUUCAAUUCCCAG